CCUUGCCAUUGCACUGAGAGCAG
This 23-nucleotide non-coding RNA is filed under the name Cricetulus griseus (Chinese hamster). Lineage: Eukaryota; Metazoa; Chordata; Mammalia; Rodentia; Cricetidae. The record is from RNAcentral.